RNAcentral lists this ribosomal RNA (2894 nucleotides) under Pseudomonas sp. 1033. RNAcentral describes it as "bacterial LSU rRNA". It matches the Rfam family "Bacterial large subunit ribosomal RNA". The record is from RNAcentral. Lineage: Bacteria; Pseudomonadati; Pseudomonadota; Gammaproteobacteria; Pseudomonadales; Pseudomonadaceae.
AUAUGGUCAAGUGAAGAAGCGCAUACGGUGGAUGCCUUGGCAGUCAGAGGCGAUGAAAGACGUGGUAGCCUGCGAUAAGCUUCGGGGAGUCGGCAAACAGACUUUGAUCCGGAGAUCUCUGAAUGGGGGAACCCACCUGGCAUAAGUCAGGUAUCUUGUACUGAAUACAUAGGUGCAAGAGGCGAACCAGGGGAACUGAAACAUCUAAGUACCCUGAGGAAAAGAAAUCAACCGAGAUUCCCUUAGUAGUGGCGAGCGAACGGGGACUAGCCCUUAAGUGGCUUUGAGAUUAGCGGAACGCUCUGGAAAGUGCGGCCAUAGUGGGUGAUAGCCCUGUACGCGAAAAUCUCUUAGUCAUGAAAUCGAGUAGGACGGAGCACGAGAAACUUUGUCUGAAUAUGGGGGGACCAUCCUCCAAGGCUAAAUACUACUGACUGACCGAUAGUGAACCAGUACCGUGAGGGAAAGGCGAAAAGAACCCCGGAGAGGGGAGUGAAAUAGAUCCUGAAACCGUAUGCGUACAAGCAGUGGGAGCCUACUUGUUAGGUGACUGCGUACCUUUUGUAUAAUGGGUCAGCGACUUAUAUUCAGUGGCGAGCUUAACCGAAUAGGGGAGGCGUAGCGAAAGCGAGUCUUAAUAGGGCGUUUAGUCGCUGGGUAUAGACCCGAAACCGGGCGAUCUAUCCAUGGGCAGGUUGAAGGUUAGGUAACACUGACUGGAGGACCGAACCGACUACCGUUGAAAAGUUAGCGGAUGACCUGUGGAUCGGAGUGAAAGGCUAAUCAAGCUCGGAGAUAGCUGGUUCUCCUCGAAAGCUAUUUAGGUAGCGCCUCAUGUAUCACUGUAGGGGGUAGAGCACUGUUUCGGCUAGGGGGUCAUCCCGACUUACCAAACCGAUGCAAACUCCGAAUACCUACAAGUGCCGAGCAUGGGAGACACACGGCGGGUGCUAACGUCCGUCGUGAAAAGGGAAACAACCCAGACCGUCAGCUAAGGUCCCAAAGUUAUGGUUAAGUGGGAAACGAUGUGGGAAGGCUUAGACAGCUAGGAGGUUGGCUUAGAAGCAGCCACCCUUUAAAGAAAGCGUAAUAGCUCACUAGUCGAGUCGGCCUGCGCGGAAGAUGUAACGGGGCUCAAACCAUACACCGAAGCUACGGGUAUCACUUAGGUGAUGCGGUAGAGGAGCGUUCUGUAAGCCUGUGAAGGUGAGUUGAGAAGCUUGCUGGAGGUAUCAGAAGUGCGAAUGCUGACAUGAGUAACGACAAUGGGAGUGAAAAACUCCCACGCCGAAAGACCAAGGUUUCCUGCGCAACGUUAAUCGACGCAGGGUUAGUCGGUCCCUAAGGCGAGGCUGAAAAGCGUAGUCGAUGGAAAACAGGUUAAUAUUCCUGUACUUCUGGUUAUUGCGAUGGAGGGACGGAGAAGGCUAGGCCAGCUUGGCGUUGGUUGUCCAAGUUUAAGGUGGUAGGCUGAGAUCUUAGGUAAAUCCGGGAUCUUAAGGCCGAGAGCUGAUGACGAGUUGCCAUUAGGCGACGAAGUGGUUGAUGCCAUGCUUCCAAGAAAAGCUUCUAAGCUUCAGGUAACCAGGAACCGUACCCCAAACCGACACAGGUGGUUGGGUAGAGAAUACCAAGGCGCUUGAGAGAACUCGGGUGAAGGAACUAGGCAAAAUGGCACCGUAACUUCGGGAGAAGGUGCGCCGGUGAGGGUGAAGGACUUGCUCCGUAAGCUCAUGCCGGUCGAAGAUACCAGGCCGCUGCGACUGUUUAUUAAAAACACAGCACUCUGCAAACACGAAAGUGGACGUAUAGGGUGUGACGCCUGCCCGGUGCCGGAAGGUUAAUUGAUGGGGUUAGCUAACGCGAAGCUCUUGAUCGAAGCCCCGGUAAACGGCGGCCGUAACUAUAACGGUCCUAAGGUAGCGAAAUUCCUUGUCGGGUAAGUUCCGACCUGCACGAAUGGCGUAACGAUGGCGGCGCUGUCUCCACCCGAGACUCAGUGAAAUUGAAAUCGCUGUGAAGAUGCAGUGUAUCCGCGGCUAGACGGAAAGACCCCGUGAACCUUUACUAUAGCUUUGCACUGGACUUUGAAUUUGCUUGUGUAGGAUAGGUGGGAGGCUUUGAAGCGUGGACGCCAGUCUGCGUGGAGCCAUCCUUGAAAUACCACCCUGGCAACUUUGAGGUUCUAACUCAGGUCCGUUAUCCGGAUCGAGGACAGUGUAUGGUGGGUAGUUUGACUGGGGCGGUCUCCUCCUAAAGAGUAACGGAGGAGUACGAAGGUGCGCUCAGACCGGUCGGAAAUCGGUCGUAGAGUAUAAAGGCAAAAGCGCGCUUGACUGCGAGACAGACACGUCGAGCAGGUACGAAAGUAGGUCUUAGUGAUCCGGUGGUUCUGUAUGGAAGGGCCAUCGCUCAACGGAUAAAAGGUACUCCGGGGAUAACAGGCUGAUACCGCCCAAGAGUUCAUAUCGACGGCGGUGUUUGGCACCUCGAUGUCGGCUCAUCACAUCCUGGGGCUGAAGCCGGUCCCAAGGGUAUGGCUGUUCGCCAUUUAAAGUGGUACGCGAGCUGGGUUUAGAACGUCGUGAGACAGUUCGGUCCCUAUCUGCCGUGGACGUUUGAGAUUUGAGAGGGGCUGCUCCUAGUACGAGAGGACCGGAGUGGACGAACCUCUGGUGUUCCGGUUGUCACGCCAGUGGCAUUGCCGGGUAGCUAUGUUCGGAAGAGAUAACCGCUGAAAGCAUCUAAGCGGGAAACUUGCCUCAAGAUGAGAUCUCACUGGAGCCUUGAGCUCCCUGAAGGGCCGUCGAAGACUACGACGUUGAUAGGUUGGGUGUGUAAGCGCUGUGAGGCGUUGAGCUAACCAAUACUAAUUGCCCGUGAGGCUUGACCAU